UACAGAGGUCCCAAGCGUUGUUCGGAUUCACUGGGCGUAAAGGGUGCGUAGGUGGCUUGGUAAGUUCGAUGUGAAAUCUCCGGGCUUAACCCGGAAAUGGCAUUGAAUACUAUUGAGCUGGAGGUUUGGAGGGGGGGGGACUGGAAUUCUCGGUGUAGCAGUGAAAUGCGUAGAUAUCGAGAGGAACACCAGUGGCGAAGGCGAGUCCCUGGACAACACCUGACACUGAGGCACGAAAGCUAGGGGAGCAAACAGG
Molecule: ribosomal RNA, 256 nt
Filed under: uncultured bacterium
Lineage: Bacteria
Description: partial 16S ribosomal RNA
Rfam family: Bacterial small subunit ribosomal RNA
Source: RNAcentral